CAAAGGUAGCAUAAUCAUUAGUUUUUUAAUUGAAAACUUGUAUGAAAGGCUGCACAAAAGAGGAGCUGUCUUUAAGGAAUAAAAAUUGAAAUUUAUUUUUAAGUGAAAAAGCUUAAAUAUUUUAAAGGGACGAUAAGACCCUAUAAAGCUUUAUAUGUUAAUUGAAUUUAUUUGGUUUAAAAUAAUAAAAAUUAAGUUUAAUAUUAUAUUUUAUUGGGGCGAUAUAAGUAAAAAUUUUUUUAACUGCUUAAAAGAAAAUCAAUUAUAGUUGAUUAAGUUUAAUGAUCCUUUAUAAAGAUUAAAAGAUUAAGUUACUUUAGGGAUAACAGCGCUAUUUUUUUUGAGAGUUCAUAUCGAAAAAAGAGUUUGUGACCUCGAUGUUGAAUUAAAAUGUCUAUAUAUUGUAGCAGAUAUAAUAGAAGGUCUGUUCGACCUUUAAAAUUUUACAUGAUUUGAGUUCA
RNAcentral lists this ribosomal RNA (461 nucleotides) under Miersiella cavifrons. Its description in RNAcentral is "partial 16S ribosomal RNA". It matches the Rfam family "Bacterial large subunit ribosomal RNA", at positions 1951 to 2613 of the family's 2925-position model. The record is from RNAcentral. Lineage: Eukaryota; Metazoa; Arthropoda; Malacostraca; Decapoda; Xanthidae.